RNAcentral lists this small nucleolar RNA (132 nucleotides) under Sorex araneus (European shrew). Lineage: Eukaryota; Metazoa; Chordata; Mammalia; Eulipotyphla; Soricidae. The record is from RNAcentral.
CUAAACAUUUCACUGUCUUUUUUCUCUCUCGUCAUUUCAAGAAAAAAGGGAUUUCUGUGCUAAACUAACCUUUAGAGGUAAAUCAGCAGCAUGACUUAUUUAGUCAUUGCUGUCAGUCACCUUCAGACAAAU